This 425-nucleotide ribosomal RNA is filed under the name uncultured bacterium. RNAcentral's name for it is "partial 16S ribosomal RNA". It matches the Rfam family "Bacterial small subunit ribosomal RNA", at positions 354 to 796 of the family's 1533-position model. The record is from RNAcentral.
GUGGGGAAUCUUGCGCAAUGGGCGAAAGCCUGACGCAGCCAUGCCGCGUGGAUGAUGAAGGUCUUAGGAUUGUAAAAUCCUUUCACCGGUGAAGAUAAUGACUGUAGCCGGAGAAGAAGCCCCGGCUAACUUCGUGCCAGCAGCCGCGGUAAUACGAAGGGGGCUAGCGUUGCUCGGAAUUACUGGGCGUAAAGGGCGCGUAGGCGGACAGUUAAGUUGGGGGUGAAAGCCCGGGGCUCAACCUCGGAACUGCCUUCAAUACUGGCUGUCUUGAGUAUGAGAGAGGUGUGUGGAACUCCGAGUGUAGAGGUGAAAUUCGUAGAUAUUCGGAAGAACACCAGUGGCGAAGGCGACACACUGGCUCAUUACUGACGCUGAGGCGCGAAAGCGUGGGGAGCAAACAGGAUUAGAUACCCCUGUAGUCC